RNAcentral lists this ribosomal RNA (253 nucleotides) under uncultured bacterium. RNAcentral describes it as "partial 16S ribosomal RNA". It matches the Rfam family "Bacterial small subunit ribosomal RNA", at positions 524 to 776 of the family's 1533-position model. The record is from RNAcentral.
UACGAAGGGGGCUAGCGUUGUUCGGAAUUACUGGGCGUAAAGGGCGCGUAGGCGGUCCUGAUCGUCGGAUGUGAAAGGCCUGGGCUCAACCUGGGAACUGCAUCCGAUACGGCGGGACUGGAGUGUGGGAGAGGUUGGUGGAAUUCCCAGUGUAGAGGUGGAAUUCGUAGAUAUUGGGAAGAACACCGGUGGCGAAGGCGGCCAACUGGACCACAACUGACGCUGAGGCGCGAAAGCGUGGGGAGCAAACAGG